RNAcentral lists this ribosomal RNA (451 nucleotides) under uncultured microorganism. Its description in RNAcentral is "bacterial SSU rRNA". It matches the Rfam family "Archaeal small subunit ribosomal RNA", at positions 330 to 745 of the family's 1478-position model. The record is from RNAcentral.
GCGCACCAGGCGCGAAACCUCCGCAAUGCUCGAAAGAGCGACGGGGACUCCAAGUGCCUACGCUCAGCGUAGGCUGUUCCCGAGCCUAAAAGCUCGGGGAGUAAGGGCUGGGUAAGACGGGUGCCAGCCGCCGCGGUAAUACCCGCAGCCCGAGUGGUGGCCGCUAUUAUUGGGCCUAAAGCGUCCGUAGCCGGCUCGGUAAAUGCCUGGGUAAAUCGUCUGGCCCAACCAGACGAAUUCCGGGUAGACUGCCGGGCUAGGGACCGGAGGAGGGAGAGGGUACUCCAGGGGUAGGGUGAAAUCAGCAAGGUGAGUUGCUGAUGUAACUUGCCUUGCAAGUCACAAUCCUGUAAUCCCUGGAGGACCGCCGGUGGCGAAGGCGCUCUCCUAGGACGGUCGACGGUGAGGGACGAAAGCCAGGGGAGCAAACCGGAUUAGAUACCCGCGUAGU